RNAcentral lists this transfer RNA (134 nucleotides) under Hypsizygus marmoreus. It matches the Rfam family "tRNA". Rfam says of the family: Transfer RNA (tRNA) molecules are approximately 80 nucleotides in length. Their secondary structure includes four short double-helical elements and three loops (D, anti-codon, and T loops). Lineage: Eukaryota; Fungi; Basidiomycota; Agaricomycetes; Agaricales; Lyophyllaceae. The record is from Rfam by way of RNAcentral.
GGUGAGAUGGCCGAGCGGUCCAAGGCGCCAGACUAAGGAAAGACCAAGGCAGUUGCUGCCUUUCAGAGUGGGAUUCGAACCCACGCCUGUAUCUGGUCUCUCCCGAGGCGUGGGUUCGAAUCCCACUCUCAUCA